GGAGGAGGCGGCGGAGGAGCGGCGGCCGAGGCGGGGGGGCCGCUGCCGGCGUCGCCGGCGCUGAGGUGGACGAAGAGCAGCAGCCCCAGCACGUUGAGGACGUAGAGUCUGGGAAGCCUGAGGACCAUCAGAGGUGAGGCAGCCAACGCAUAACACAAGCAAAGCUGAAAUGAAUUGCGCCGGAUGCACGGAUGGGGAGGUGGAAGGCGGGCAGGGAGAGACAAAUGCAACAAGGAAAAAAAAAGAGCAAAUAUUCCACAUCUGUAGCAGUAAUGCAUCAAAGGGAAUUUUGUACCUCAGAAUGAAUGGCUCCUGAGCCACUAAGCACCUACGGUCACAUAACCCUGCUGAUUUGAAUAGGGCUGUGUACCUGUUAGAGGGGGAAAAAAAGCUAGCCUUGUCUUUUGAUAUUGCAUCUCCUGUUCUCCUUCCUGUUGUUGCUUUUCAAGCAGCGUCACUUUACACGAAGAGCCAACACUCCCUGUGCUCUGCAGGUUCUGUCCUGGAGUUUACAACUCUGCAUGACAUCUGUACAGCAGUCACCCUGCCUGGGCUGCAACAGCAACCAAGUCCCGUUGUUUUCCCAGAGAGCGUGGAAAUGGGAUUUGUGUGUGCAAACCAGAACAACCACCACCCUAAGAAAGGGUGUGAUUUGUUUUGUCUUAAAGCAAAUAGAACUGCUGACUAAAGCUUCAGAAAUUCUGAAAGAAUUAAGGGGCACUCAGUGCAACACGUAGUACUGUUCCUCAGCCAAGCAUCUCAUAGCAGUCCGUUCAGCACAUUUGGCCACAGCUAUAUAGUCCAGUUUUUCUACAAACAGGGAUUCAUGGCAAAGCAUUUUGUGGGGGCAAUGGAGAGGGAGGGAGGGAGAGAGAGAGGCAAAGAGGAGGUGGAGAGAGACAAAACCCCAUUCUAGUCUAGCCCAAAGUCUGGCAAUUAUGUAACAAAAGUGAGAGCUCUUUGGGAUUAGGAAACACCAAGUAUCUGUUCUGCAGAGAGAGCGGGCAUUAUGCUAGUUACAUUUAGACAAGAACACCAGCUUUUAUCCUAGAUCAGUACUUUGCACGUUAAAAUCUUCAAAGAACAGUUUAAAUGUUAGUUCAACACACUGCAAACUGCUGGGUCUCAGCAAGCCCUCCCCUGAGCUAUCCCUCGCUCUCUGUCCAGUGUGCUCUGUGUCUCAAAUUUUGACAAGCAUUUAGGAGGAGGAGAGAAAGGUACAUUUGACCAAUCUCUGGAAUAUAUUCUGAGCAGGGCACAAAGAUGCUGCUGCUGGGAGCAGAGGAGGGAAUGAAUUCAGGAGGCAGCGGCUGGAGCAAGGACAUAUCUACCCCCAUGGCUUCAGCCUAGAUGGGAGCCAAAAUAGCCCAGAGCAGAAGCAUAAGGAGCCAUGGCUGCAGAGACCUCGUACAGGUGCUGCUUCUGCUCCUAUCCCUGUUCCACUGCCAGCAGCUCUUUGGCAGCACGUUCCUGAGGAUACAUCCUACAGCAGGGAAGGGAGGGAGGAAAGAGCAGGCCUCUCAGUUGGAAAAUUUCCACUGCGAGCGAGCAUGGCCACAGGAUUAGCUUUGAUGGCAGCUCUUCUCUUAAACCAAGCGUCUCUUGUUCAAAUCCAUCUGCCCAAUUAUACAUGCUGCAAAAACUUGGCUCACAUAUCUCAGGUACAUGAAAAAGGCUCCAACAGCAGUUAGCUUAUUUGGACAUGCAGGAAUUUAGUACUUUUUCCCCUUCAGUUUAAUCUUUGUCAAGUGAAAUUGUAUAAAGACAAUAGAGUAUACAGGGACACAUCAAAGGUUACGCUUCCAUGUGCAGCAUGGAAGAGAAUCCCAUGAGUCCCCCACGGAAGUGAUUUCCCCAAAUCAGGCACUCCAGCUUCACCUUCACUGGCUGCAUACAGCGUGUUCGUGGUGCAGGUGACAUACAUGCUUGUGAAACCUUAACACGUGGCCUGCUUCCUAUAGCAAACAGGCAAGCAUCAGCAUUUAAGUAACCUUUUUCAUGUUAACCCCUACUAAGAUGAACUGGGUUUUCAUAUUUUUAUUUUAGUGUAUAUUUUACAUUAGAAAAAAGAAUGUUAAUAAAAAAGCUCCACAUGCUCCUAACAAUCAAUUUUCUGAUGAGUUCCCACCAGUAUUGAUACUAAUAUACAAAUAAAUUAAUUUUGCAAGUUAAUUCUCUGCCUGGCUUGGUGCAGGCCCUGCACAAGCAGUGCAUCUGUAGUCUAGUGCCUGUCCAACAUGUGCCAGGGAGUGUGUUGUACACAGUAUUUGCUCCUCAUAAAGUAGCGGAGUUUAGUUUCACAUCAAUUAAUGGGAUCAAAUUUUCUCAACCAUGUCACCCAGCAGGCACAAAUAUUCUUUACCAGAUUGCAUGGCACUGUUACGACAUGGAUUGUUUCACUCUGAAAAAGCCCCAAGCCUUGAUUAACAUCUGUAUGCUACAAUUCCCUCAUCACUCACUUUGGCAAUACAACACCCUCCCCACAAAAACAAGCAAAGCAAAAAAUCUAUAUGGAAGACCUAAAAUUUAUCAAAUGCAGAAUCUGACCUGACUUAGUGAUAACCUGCUCUCUCCCCUACAAUUCCUCUGCUUGUUUUUGUUUGUGUAGCAAGAUUUUGCACAGCUGAUAUUCAAGAAGAGAUGCCACAUGUAAUCGGACUAAGUCACAGACGCUGCUGGGACUGCCAGAUCAGCCACAGCAGCAGCCAUUCUUAGCACCAGCCACUCUCCUCAUGCAAUGCCAAUGCUACAACGUCCUGGUUAAAGGAGCAUCAAGAAAUCUACGUGAGUUAUUUUGUAACCUCCUCCAGUGCCUAGGAGGAUUUUUGGUUCAGAGGAAGGAAGGAGGAGAGGGAAAAGCCCAUUAAAUUUACAAGCAGAUUAAGGAAAAACAAUCCACUGCCAAUUUAUUUUUAAAAAGGGUUGUGUGUUAUUCUAAGGUUUGUCUGUAUAAUUGUACAACCGUUGAAAAUUACAUAAAUUGUAUUGAUCUAAUACUAUUAACAGCCAUUCAGAGAAAAACUCCCUCCCCGUCUGAAACCAUUGAGGGCAGGAGGGAAACGUCCCAGGAAAUAUGCCAAUCUGAACUCUGGCCUCUAGCAUGGCAGAAACAAACAGAAAGAUAAGAGAACAAACUGGACUAAGAUGUGAUGUUUGCAUGUGUCUGACUUGCAAGGGGAGGGGUGGCUCUGUCCUUGGCCGUGUUCUCCCAGAGGCAGUGCCUGCUUAUCCCGGUGAAGCUGCCAUCACUUCACUUGCUGCUCUCACCCCUGCACUUUGUCAUUUUCUCCUGUUUUAUGUGUCAUGGAAGUCUUUCAGCAGGGUCCUCCGUCUCUGCUCUGCUAUGUGCAUCUGAUUCUCUAAGUCCUGGUAAAACAGAAGGCAGAAAUAGUUAGUGUGAGAUCCCCAGGGAUUAGUUAAUUUUUUUCUCAGGGAUUCACAUCAUCUGAGAAUCACCAACCUUCGUACUUCAAAUAUGCUCUGAAUCACAAGAUUGCAGACCUCAUUCCUUUUAGCAUGCUUUAACAUGUUAACAUGCAGUUACCUGGCUCUUGCUUUAUCUAAAAAGCUACACACUUCAAGAACCUACGUGUAACUAGAAGUUUAUUAUGGGCAGCUUCUCCAAAGCUCUGACGGUUCUGUUUCCAGCCCUCCCUCGUCCUGCAAUAAGCAGUGAGCACUUCACUUCCACAACAUCCACCAGCAAGAGGAAGAAAAGUGAGAUUUUGGAUCUAGUAUUUCAGCACCCUCACUUAACUGCCUUAGCUCUCCCACAGAGUUGUUAAGCCUGAUGUUAACAAAAUCUGGCCAGCAGGCCCAAGCAAGAGGAACACUCACCCCUCUGUCAUAGCUGUCUGCUCGCUCCACCUUCCAUGAGAGAUUUUCAAUUUCAGCUUCCAGCUGGGCCUGCUGGUAUUCAAACUGCAAACAGCAAAAUUGGAGUUAGCAUCAAGAAACUAACUUAGUGGAACAGCUUCGUUCAACCUGCUACAUUUGAGAAGCAAACAAACAUGUUCUGCUGACAGCAGUGCUGGAAGAGCAGGUUUGUGCCUCCUCCCUAUCCAUCUUUAGCUACACAUGCUUUGCAGAGGUUUCUGGUGUGAACACUCCCCAACCUGCAUCACUCAAAGUUAAUCAUAUCAGUUCAGAAACACUCAAAGUGACAAAUAUCAGCUUACUCAGCUCACUUUGCCAAUAAGCAGGUCAGGAAAUGCUCUUGUGAAGGCAGAACUGAGGGACUCCUAACCACUGCUGGGAGCAGUAACUUAUUCUACCAGCGCAGUCAGAUAGAAAAGAAAAUGUGGCCAAAGCCUGAGAGAAUCCACAUGCUACGUGAAGAGAUUGGAGAACAGGUCUGACUUGACUACUGAGUCAAAGAAUCAACAUAUUCAAUGAAUUCAGGACUAUUUUUGGACAUAUCCAGCCCCUAGAAAGUUCCAGCUUGCAAGGAACUUGCAGUAGGAAUCAAAGGCAAAGCUACACACCGAUUCCAGGCUGGAAAAACUAUGCUCCAGCAGCCAUUUGUGGGAAAUACAGUCCACAGCACUGUGAUAGUCCCACCAAGGAACAAACUCACAUUUUCCAGCUUCAAAACUUUUUGGAUAAAAUGCUUAUUAGUUAAAUUGCAGUGUUGCCAAAGGAAAAUAACAAUUGAGCAGCAGAUCAAUUUCAAGCAUAGAGGAAAGGUGCAAAGGCACACAAUCUUGUCCAGGCUUUACCUCAAACUCAAUACUCGUAUUUCAGACACACAAGCUCUGGAAUUGAAUAGGGAUGCUUGACUAUUCAUUCAGCCUAGCAUGCUGCCAGCUAAACACCCCCAGACAAACUGUAAGUGAAAAAAGAACAAAACAUCUUACCAGUUUCUUUCUGGGACCAGACUCCAUGUAGUAGGCAUAUGGAUAUGUGUACUGCAGAGUGUAACGACACUGGUGGGGUCCAAGGAGAAGAGAGAGAAAACAAGAGUCUCAGACUUCGAAGUCAGCACAGUCAGUUGCAUAACCACUACAAGAAGCUACGUUCUGACAAGGAUGCCUAGACACUUCAUGGUGCAGCUUCCCUCAUCAUCCUUGGAAGAAUUUGAACAGUUAUACUUUAACUUCUCAGAGGUCACAGAGGACCCUUCAUAGAGGAUUUUUGCCUAGUUCAUGGUGUAGACUAGAGGUACAGUUUCACAUACCCGUAAUCCCCAAGUUCCCUUCCUCUCACUAGGUGUGGUGAAAUUAGCAUUCUUGUGCACAAAUUCUCUUCUUUGUGCUAAACAAGCCACAGCUACCCACCUUUGCGAGUAGUUUUGCAGCAUUUUGUAGGUAUUGCCAGUCUAUCCACGUUCCCAAGUUGUUCAUAACUCUUUCCUGAAUUUUCUCCUGGAUUCGUUGGUACGUCUGUGCCUCCAGCUGCAAACUUUUAUUGUGAUUCUCCCACUGCAAAGGGUGGGGAGAAGAAAAAAGAAAAAAAUGGUAUGAGACCAGAAUACUUUUGCUGUAAAAGCACAAGCUCUAGCAAGCGGAAACUGAAGUGGGGCAGGAGUCCAGCAAGGCAAGACAUGCUGUGGGAAAGAACAGCAAGGCAGCAGCUCCAAUAGCAAGGAGUGGAAGCUGUAUACAACAGACUGACAGCAGGAAAGAGCAAGAAGCAAACCCAGCUCCUCAGAGUGGGAAUGCCCUCUGUUUGCACAAAGACUUUGUGUACAACAAGAUAGAUAGUAAUGGCAAUUCCUCUACUUAAACAAUUCCUCUACUUAAACAAUUUCUGUAGAAAGGGCAAGAGUUGAAAUUAACACUUAAUGCAGGUUCAGUUAACUCCAACAUCCACAUGCACAUUGUAAACAUAGCCAUGUCCCAAAGCCUGUUUGGUCUAGCGAGCCAAGAAUGAACACGUUUAUUUUAUUACAGGAGUUGGCUCAUAGUAUGAAAAAGAAUAAAUUCAUUUUAAUGGGGAAACAAGUGCACUGAAAGGCAGCAGCACUGUACUUGUCUCACAUUCUUCUCUAUAGAGAUGCUGUUCUAGAAAUACACUGUGUGUCCAGGUGCUUUGAAACAGCUGUGUGCAUCGAGAUUAUGCAAUCACACUUUUUGAAAGUUGUACCCAGUGCUCUGGGUCCUUUAGGAAAACUUUGCUACAGCCAAUGGAAUUUGAACAUUACAGUUUAUUCUUUGUCACUAUGAAGAUACAGUGCAAGUAACAAAAGUUCCACAGUACUGAAAGGAAAUGAUUGGAGUAAUAUUUAUCUACUGCAGCAGCAGCCUGCAGGAAAACAGUAUAGUGGCACACAGGUAAUACCAAUUUUCUCUAGCACGAGGAAACACAGGAGCAAGUAUGAUUUGCUUUGGGGAUGACAUUACUGGUUUGAACGGGACAUCCCACAGGACAGGACUUAGAAAGAAAGAACAGAGCCUGAAAAUUCAGCACAGAUUCUCUUUGGGCAGUUUCUUGCAUGGAGAUUGCUGGCAAUGACCUUUGCACCAGGCAGGGAGCAUUAAAAAGCUACAGCAGCUCUGGCCAAAGAGAUGUCUCCUACCCUCUCAAAAUAGAACAAGUACUUCUUAAGGGCCUCCCUGGCCUGUGCUUGCUGACUCUGGUUUACAAUAUCAGGAUUCUCUUUGUACCGACUGCAUUCGUAGUACUCGCUGCCGUGAGUCUUCCAGUCUCCCAGACACAUCCAGCAGAAGUCUGCAGAAAACAGUGAAAAUCCACUAUCAUGCACAG
Molecule: long non-coding RNA, 6705 nt
Organism: Gallus gallus (chicken)
Lineage: Eukaryota; Metazoa; Chordata; Aves; Galliformes; Phasianidae
Exons: 2
Source: RefSeq, a predicted model, not a curated record